This 245-nucleotide ribosomal RNA is filed under the name uncultured bacterium. Its description in RNAcentral is "partial small subunit ribosomal RNA". It matches the Rfam family "Bacterial small subunit ribosomal RNA", at positions 26 to 285 of the family's 1533-position model. The record is from RNAcentral.
AGAAUCAACGCUGGCGGCGUGCCUAACACAUGCAAGUCGCACGAGAAAGGGGCUUCGGCUCUGAGUAAAGUGGCGCACGGGUGAGUAACACGUGAAUUAUCUACCUCCGAGUGGGGAAUAACUGAGAGAAAUCUUAGCUAAUACCGCAUAACACUUACGGGUCAAAGCAGCAAUGCACUUGGAGAGGAGUUCGCGGCCGAUUAGUUAGUUGGCGGGGUAAUGGCCCACCAAGACGAUGAUCGGUA